CCUACGGGCGGCAGCAGUGGGGAAUUUUGGACAAUGGGCGCAAGCCUGAUCCAGCUAUUCCGCGUGUGGGAUGACGGCCUUCUGGUUGUAAACCACUUUUGUAGAGAACGUAAAGUCUGUUGAUUAUACCGAUCGAUGAUGACGGUACUCUAAGAAUCUGCACCGGCUAACUACGUGACAGCAGCCGCGGUAAUACGUAGGGUGCGAGCGUUAAUCGGAAUUACUGGGCGGAAGGGGUGUGCAGGCGGUUUUGCAAGAUGGAUGUGAAAGCCCCGGGCUUAACCUGGGAAAGCCAUACAUGACUGCAAGACUAGAGUGCGUCAGAGGGGGGUGGAAUUCCAAGUGUAGCAGUGAAAUGCGUAGAUAUUUGGAAGAACACCGAUGGCGAAGGCAGCCCCCUGGGACGCAACUGACGCUCAUACACGAAAGCGUGGGGAGCAAACAGGAUUAGAUACCCCUGUAGUC
Molecule: ribosomal RNA, 465 nt
Filed under: uncultured bacterium
Lineage: Bacteria
Description: partial 16S ribosomal RNA
Rfam family: Bacterial small subunit ribosomal RNA
Source: RNAcentral